CAAUAAACAGGGUUCUUCUAUGGUUUCUUUUUCAGUUCCUGCCUGAGCGCUCCUAUGUUGAGGCCUUCGACAAUGGAGCUGACCUGGAAGUGUCUCAGUUGCUUUUGAUCAGGGUGGCCACUCACAGCAACAGAAAACAAAUCAGACUACAAGUCUAUUCCUUUUUUUCCAUUCUCCCCCAGAGAGGCAAGAGUUCAAAGGAGGUCUGUGUGCAAAAUCCCCUGGUUCCCCAGUUGCAGAAAAUCCUCAGUCUCCUAAGGCUAGAGGUCUCUUUUCAAGAAGAUUUAUUAUUCAGUGCAUCAACAUUUACCAUGGAGGGAACUCUGGACUUAACAGAAUUUCCCUAGUGCUCCUGUCAAUGGGGCCAAACAGCCUGGCCUCCAUUUGCCCUCCCAAUAAAGUAAAAAUGUCCCCACUGAGAUGAUCUUUG
This 430-nucleotide long non-coding RNA is filed under the name Mus spicilegus (steppe mouse). RNAcentral's name for it is "lncRNA (ENSMSIG00000019306.1)". The record is from RNAcentral. Lineage: Eukaryota; Metazoa; Chordata; Mammalia; Rodentia; Muridae.